UCCAAUCGUUUGGGAAAUGAAGGUAUCUG
RNAcentral lists this non-coding RNA (29 nucleotides) under Mus musculus (house mouse). The record is from RNAcentral. Lineage: Eukaryota; Metazoa; Chordata; Mammalia; Rodentia; Muridae.